This 301-nucleotide ribosomal RNA is filed under the name uncultured bacterium. RNAcentral's name for it is "partial 16S ribosomal RNA". It matches the Rfam family "Bacterial small subunit ribosomal RNA", at positions 509 to 807 of the family's 1533-position model. The record is from RNAcentral.
CAGCAGCCGCGGUAAUACGUAGGGUGCGAGCGUUAAUCGGAAUUACUGGGCGUAAAGCGUGCGCAGGCGGUUAUAUAAGACAGAUGUGAAAUCCCCGGGCUCAACCUGGGACCUGCAUUUGUGACUGUAUAGCUGGAGUACGGUAGAGGGGGAUGGAAUUCCGCGUGUAGCAGUGAAAUGCGUAGAUAUGCGGAGGAACACCGAUGGCGAAGGCAAUCCCCUGGACCUGUACUGAAGCUCAUGCACGAAAGCGUGGGGAGCAAACAGGAUUAGAUACCCCUGUAGUCCCUGUCUCUUAUAC